RNAcentral lists this transfer RNA (75 nucleotides) under Bacillota bacterium. Its description in RNAcentral is "tRNA-Trp". It matches the Rfam family "tRNA". Rfam says of the family: Transfer RNA (tRNA) molecules are approximately 80 nucleotides in length. Their secondary structure includes four short double-helical elements and three loops (D, anti-codon, and T loops). Further hydrogen bonds mediate the characteristic L-shaped molecular structure. tRNAs have two regions of fundamental functional importance: the anti-codon, which is responsible for specific mRNA codon recognition, and the 3' end, to which the tRNAs corresponding amino acid is attached (by aminoacyl-tRNA synthetases). tRNAs cope with the degeneracy of the genetic code in two manners: having more than one tRNA (with a specific anti-codon) for a particular amino acid; and 'wobble' base-pairing, i.e. permitting non-standard base-pairing at the 3rd anti-codon position. Lineage: Bacteria; Bacillati; Bacillota. RNAcentral also lists the same sequence under 4 other names. The record is from RNAcentral.
AGGAGUAUAGUUCAGUGGUAGAACGUUGGUCUCCAAAACCAAAUGUCGUGGGUUCAAAUCCUACUACUCCUGCCA